Molecule: long non-coding RNA, 1075 nt
Filed under: Homo sapiens (human)
Lineage: Eukaryota; Metazoa; Chordata; Mammalia; Primates; Hominidae
Description: HSALNT0028038
Source: RNAcentral
AAUGAGCAUCAUCCAUUUAAAAAGUCGGUAUGAAGUUUUUUCUUAACUUUAGGUAAAGUGAUCAACGACACCAAAUAUGAAAUGGAAAGGCAUUCAGGGCAAUGCCAAUUCAUUAGUCAAGGUUGUUAUGGAUGAUGGGAUUGCCUUAGGCUUCCACCUUUCAGACCAAAGCAGAAUCUGUGUCAUCACUAAUCAUAGAUUACUAGCUAAGGCCAAGUAGAAAUGUCAAUACAACAACUUAAGGAGAAAGCAAGCUGAUUUUUAAAGAUAGAUGCUGAUGUUUUAUGGAAUUUGUUUAGGUGGUUGAGUUCUGGAUCGUGGGGAUAGGGAGGGAGGAGACACGGUUGAGGUUAAUACUCCAGAUUGACCUCAUCUUGCUAAUUGGAGUCCUAUUCAUAGUAAUCUUAAUUAAAUACUGUAUGAGACAAAUUGAAUGGAGUUGAACUCACUCAUCAGUUAGAUUAAUCAAAGUAGCUGAAGUAGUGAUGAACUCAUGGGGGAAAUUAAGUAGACAUCAAGAUGGUACAGAAAUGAAGGAAGAGUAGAUCUUGUUGACAGGCAAUUCUCUAUGGGUCUCUUGCAUUUCUACUUAUCUUGUAAGCAAUGAUACUAACACCUUUGUUUUGAACCACCUUUUCAAGGCUCUUCCUAUAUUAACAAUGUCUCCUUCCAGGACAAAGGUCAGGCAGGUUUGUUUAGAGACCACUAUGAAAAAUUUGAGCUUCCAAAGCUCAGAGUUUCUUUCCUGUGAUGCAACCGCCACAUAUGCAGGAAUCACCUGACGCUUUUCAUAUCACCCUGUGGUAAUUGAGACUUAAGAACUGGUCAAGAAAAUCAUGACACUCUGGCUAUACUGUCGUUGCUUGUUCUUCAUAGGAAAUAAUCUGGAGUCCAUUCUCUCUAUCCUGCUUUGUCCUUCCUGAAGUAAGUUCCAGUUUGUCAAUAUCUUAUGCAGAAUGUGGCAUUCAGAAAUAAGGACAAUUCUUCUAGUGAAAUAACUGAUGCUUAUGUAAGUAUAACAAUGUGUUACUGGUGAAAUGAAUCAACAUAGUAAAUUCUGCUAUAAACAUACAAC